GAUGAACGCUGGCGGCGUGCCUAAUACAUGCAAGUCGAGCGAAUGGAUUAAGAGCUUGCUCUUAUGAAGUUAGCGGCGGACGGGUGAGUAACGCGUGGGUAACCUGCCCAUAAGACUGGGAUAACUCCGGGAAACCGGGGCUAAUACCGGAUAACAUUUUGAACCGCAUGGUUCGAAAUUGAAAGGCGGCUUCGGCUGUCACUUAUGGAUGGACCCGCGUCGCAUUAGCUAGUUGGUGAGGUAACGGCUCACCAAGGCAACGAUGCGUAGCCGACCUGAGAGGGUGAUCGGCCAAACUGGGACUGAGACACGGCACAGACUCCUACGGGAGGCAGCAGUAGGGAAUCUACCGCAAUGGACGAAAGUCUGACGGAGCAACGCCGCGUGAGUGAUGAAGGCUUUCGGGUCGUAAAACUCUGUUGUUAGGGAAGAACAAGUGCUAGUUGAAUAAGCUGGCGCCUUGACGGUACCUAACCAGAAAGCCACGGCUAACUACGUGCCAGCCGCCGCCGUAA
Molecule: ribosomal RNA, 515 nt
Filed under: uncultured bacterium
Lineage: Bacteria
Description: partial 16S ribosomal RNA
Rfam family: Bacterial small subunit ribosomal RNA
Source: RNAcentral